This 1040-nucleotide ribosomal RNA is filed under the name uncultured archaeon. RNAcentral describes it as "bacterial SSU rRNA". It matches the Rfam family "Archaeal small subunit ribosomal RNA", at positions 83 to 1126 of the family's 1478-position model. The record is from RNAcentral.
CGGCUCAGUAACACGUAAUCAACCUACCCUAUGGACGAGAAUAAUCUCGGGAAACUGAGCAUAAUUCUCGAUAGAUCAUAAUGCCUGGAAUGGUUUAUGGUUAAAAUGAUUCGUCGCCAUAGGAUGGGACUGCGGCCUAUCAGCUUGUUGGUGAGGUAAUGGCCCACCAAGGCGAUUACAGGUACGGGCUCUGAGAGGAGAAGCCCGGAGAUGGGUACUGAGACAAGGACCCAGGCCCUAUGGGGCGCAGCAGGCGAAAAAACUUUGCAAUGUGCGAAAGCACGACAAGGUUAAUCCGAGUGAUUUCUGCUAAAGAAAUCUUUUGUUAGUCAUAAAACCACUGAUGAAUAAGGGGUGGGCAAGUUCUGGUGUCAGCCGCCGCGGUAAAACCAGCACCUCAAGUGGUCAGGAUGAUUAUUGGGCCUAAAGCAUCCGUAGCCGGCUCUGUUAGUUUUCGGUUAAAUCCAUGUGCUCAACACAUGGGCUGCCGAAAAUACUGCAGUGCUAGGGAGUGGGAGAGGUAGACGGUACUCAGUAGGAAGGGGUAAAAUCCUUUGAUCUAUUGAUGACCGCCUGUGGCGAAGGCGGUCUACCAGAACACGUUCGACGGUGAGGGAUGAAAGCUGGGGGAGCAAACCGGAUUAGAUACCCGGGUAGUCCCAGCUGUAAACGAUGCAGACUCGAUGAUGCAUUGGCAUAUAGCCAGUGCAGUGUCGCAGGGAAGCCGUUAAGUCUGCCGCCUGGGAAGUACGUACGCAAGUAUGAAACUUAAAGGAAUUGGCGGGGGAGCACCACAAGGGGUGAAGCCUGCGGUUCAAUUGGAGUCAACGCCAGAAAUCUUACCCGGAGAGACAGCAGAAUGAAGGUCAAGCUGAAGACCUUACCAGACAAGCUGAGAGGUGGUGCAUGGCCGUCGCCAGCUCGUGCCGUGAGAUGUCCUGUUAAGUCAGGUAACGAGCGAGAUCCCUGCCACUAGUUGCUAUCAUUAUUCUGGGAAUAGUGGGGCGAAUUAGUGGGACUGCCGUUGUUAAAACGGAGGA